Molecule: long non-coding RNA, 2723 nt
Organism: Stegostoma tigrinum
Lineage: Eukaryota; Metazoa; Chordata; Chondrichthyes; Orectolobiformes; Stegostomatidae
Exons: 4
Source: RefSeq, a predicted model, not a curated record
UCUUGUCGAGGGCUGUGAAUGAGCUGCGAGGUCUCAAGUUGCGCUGGCUGUUCGAUGACAAAUCCAUUGCUGAGGGGGUGUCCGGACUGCCAAAAAAAAGCCCCCAUUUGCAAAAUGCCAUCGACCCACGGGCUUCCCUGAGCGAAAGCAGCCAGUUUGCAAUCGAGGUACUCUAGGUGUCCAGCAUAGCAGGAGGAAUACUUCUGACCAGGUGUGGAUGUCCAGAUUCCAAUCAUAACAUUCAGGAUGAGCAAUGAUACACUGACAUCACAACAAUGAAGAAAUAAAGAAAACUCAGGUGUUCAUUUCCCAUAUCAGAUGUGGAUACAGCAAAAUGCAAUCCUGAAAUCAAAGUAUUUUUGAAAUGAUUCCUCCCCAUCCUUAAUAUUGUUGUGACUUUGAGCCAUCAUCCAUCACCCCUGGAUUUAAACAUGAAAUUUGAAAACUUCAGAAUAAAAAUGAACAGAAAAUCAUUGAAACGCACAGUCAGCACCUGGAUUAGAAAGAGAAGUUAAUUGUUGGCAGGAUUUCCACCGUUCGCUGUUUUCUUUACUCAAUUACUUUUAAGCUUUUGGAGAUCAAUAAAUGGAUCCAAUCACUCUCAAGCUGAAAGAACAUGUCUGUCCAGAGCCAAAGCAUUUUACAGGAUGGAAACAAGUCAGUAAGGCUUCAUGCAUUUGUAUUCUACACAUGUGCAGGAGUGUGUUACGUACAAGGUGAAAUACAAAUAAACUGUUUCAAACUUGUAUUGAAAAUGUCCCGAGAAGACCUUAUAGGUUCCUCCAAAUUCGAUCAUAUAUCGUGGGAAGGACAUCUAUUGUCAGGGACCCUCUGGCUGCACAAGGUUGGUAUUCUUUCUAUCCCAUACAAGGACAUGCACAUUAGGAAGCUCCCACGAGGAUCAUCCUCUUGUGUGUGGCAGUUAGCAGCUGGUCAAGUCUAAAUCCAAACUGGGCAGGUGCAUCACAGUGCUGUCUGUUGUUUGGUGGAUUACCUUGAAUCCUGCAACAAAUGUUUAUCAGCUACAUUGAAUUCGUUCACAUUGUGGUGAGCAAGCUAAUCCAGAUGAUCAGCACUCAAUGCUGAGCUGCCCUUGCAAUGCCGUUAGUGAAGGAACAUGUGAUAUCCUUGCAUCAUAAGUGGUGGUCCUUUUGGGUGCAGGCCACACUUUUCAAGCAAUAUUGAACCCUGGAGGCUUCUCUGUUGCCUCAAUUACUGGAAAGUUCAUUGGCAAAGUUGGUGUCAGCCCAAAGGUUUCACCUUUUUUGUCAAAGUCUUCUUCACUCAAAAUGUUCACAGAGCUUCAGAAAGCUUUGCAUUGUUUGAGUCACAUAUUCCAUAGCUUAGAAUAGAAUCCCUACAGUGUGGAAGUAGGCCAUUCAGCAAAUUGCGUCUGCACAAACUGUCCAAAGAGCAUCACACCCAGACACACCUCACCCCUAUAACCCUGCAUUUCCCAUGGCUAAUCCACCUAGCCUGUACAUCCCUAGACACCAUGAGCAAUUUAACAUGGACAAUCCACCUAAAGUGCACAUCCUUGGACUGUGCGAGGAAACCCACACAGAUGCAGGGAAAAUGUGCAAACUCCACAGUCCCCCAUGGGUGGAAUUGAACCUGGGUCCCUGGUGCUGUGAAGCAGCAGUGCUGACCACUGAGCCACCAUGUCACCCUAAUUCUGAAGGUCUUCAUGGGUUGAUAGUUCUGAGUUGACUUUAAUGCUGUAAAACUUUUUCUGUGUUUUUACUUUUUAAUGGAAGUCUGGAACUGAGAGCCAUUUCAUAGGAAUGGAAGGUGAUUCAGCCUGUUUUUUGCUAAUAUCAACACUUCAAUAUACACAGCUCAACUAUCUGAGAAGGUGGGUGUUCUCUCUACACCAGAGCUCCUGUAGAUUCAGCACAGGCUAGAUAUGUUUACAAUGGUUGAGAAAUUGAAUUCUGACCUCAGACAUGGACAAAUGAGCCCUAGUGGGGGAUAGCCUGCAGUGAGGUGUUGAGAUGGGUUGUUAUUUGUGGCCAGGCAUGGACUUAGGCAUAGAGAAGAGAAAGGAUUCUAAAGGAGGGGCAAUGAACCAGUACUUUAUAUUUGAGAUAAUGGGAACUGCAGAUGCUGGAGAAUCCGAGAUAACAAAGUGUGAGGCUGGAUGAACACAGCAGGCCAAGCAGCAUCAGAGGAGCACAAAGUACUUUUUAUUUCAUUUGAUUUCAUAAGAGGCCUGAGCAUCUUGUUGAUAGCAGGUAGAUUUUCUGACUGUUUGACUCAGGUAAAUACUGGGGAUUAUACUUCCAAGACAUAGCCAGAUGUAGUGAUGAAAGGCACAAUGACGUGAAAUCCCUUUGCAACCCCCAGGAUUGCAUUCUACUGAGAUUUAGAGUGUCAACACUUUUUGGCCUUUAUCACCCAAUAAAACUAAUUAUAUCUCACAGGGACAAAUACCUCUCCAAUCAGCCAUCAUACCAUUUAAAAACUAAAGAGACAUGAUCAACUGAAAGGCCGACUCCUCUCCCCACCCCAACCCAAACCGCUCCGAUGUUUCCAUUUACAGUCUUAUAAUUGCAAUCACACAGUUCAUUUCUCUUGGGGUUUGCUUUGGAUUCUUUUGCCCUAAAGUCUUCUUGCUAAGGACUCAUACGUGUAAAAUAACUUACAUCUUGGAAUUAAGAAGCUGGAACAAAUUGAUUGGUUCAAUAAAGUCAUAAAAAUGAUUGUUGUUUAACACUCACUGA